Molecule: ribosomal RNA, 433 nt
Filed under: uncultured bacterium
Lineage: Bacteria
Description: partial 16S ribosomal RNA
Rfam family: Bacterial small subunit ribosomal RNA
Source: RNAcentral
AACGAACGCUGGCGGCAUGCCUAACACAUGCAAGUCGAACGAGACCUUCGGGUCUAGUGGCGCACGGGUGCGUAACGCGUGGGAACCUGCCCUUAGGUUCGGAAUAACUCCCCGAAAGGGGUGCUAAUACCGGAUAAUGUCUUCGGCCCAAAGAUUUAUCGCCCUUGGAUGGGCCCGCGUUGGAUUAGCUUGUUGGUAGGGUAAAAGCCUACCAAGGCGACGAUCCAUAGCUGGUCUGAGAGGAUGAUCAGCCACACUGGGACUGAGACACGGCCCAGACUCCUACGGGAGGCAGGAGUGGGGAAUAGUGGACAAUGGGCGAAAGCCUGAACCAGCAAGGCCGCGUGAGUGAUGAAGGCAUGAGGGUUGUAAAGCUCUUUUAACCGGGAUGAUAAUGACAGUACCGGGAGAAUAAGCUCCGGCUAACUCCGUG